RNAcentral lists this ribosomal RNA (467 nucleotides) under uncultured bacterium. Its description in RNAcentral is "partial 16S ribosomal RNA". It matches the Rfam family "Bacterial small subunit ribosomal RNA", at positions 28 to 506 of the family's 1533-position model. The record is from RNAcentral.
GACGAACGCUGGCGGCGUGCUUAACACAUGCAAGUCGAACGGAAAGGCCCUGCUUUUGUGGGGUGCUCGAGUGGCGAACGGGUGAGUAACACGUGAGUAACCUGCCCUUGACUUUGGGAUAACUUCAGGAAACUGGGGCUAAUACCGGAUAGGAGCUCCUGCUGCAUGGUGGGGGUUGGAAAGUUUCGGCGGUUGGGGAGGGACUCGCGGCUUAUCAGCUUGUUGGUGGGGUAGUGGCUUACCAAGGCUUUGACGGGUAACCGGCCUGAGAGGGUGACCGGCCACAUUGGGACUGAGAUACGGCCCAGACGCCUACGGGAGGCAGCAGUGGGGAAUAUUGCACAAUGGGCGGAAGCCUGAUGCAGCAACGCCGCGUGCGGGAUGACGGCCUUCGGGUGGUAAACCGCUUUCGCCUGUGACGAAGCGUGAGUGACGGUAAUGGGUAAAGAAGCACCGGCUAACUACGU